RNA transcript from Tyto alba (common barn owl), 4237 nucleotides. It is a transcript of the gene named glutamyl-tRNA amidotransferase subunit C, with no coding region annotated. The record is from RefSeq and is a predicted model, not a curated record. The transcript is spliced from 5 exons. NCBI's taxonomy places the organism in Eukaryota, Metazoa, Chordata, Aves, Strigiformes, Tytonidae.
GCGGAGAGGUGACGUAGCGCGGGAUGCGGGCGCUGGGCCUUGGCCGGUGGCUGCGGCCGGUGCCCGGCGGGGCCCGAGGGGCCGGGGAGGGGCGGCAGCCGCCGCCGCGGGACCCUCCGGCCCGGGCCGCUGCCCCCGCGCAGCCUAAAGUGACAGUGGAAGUGCUGGAUCACUUGGAACACCUGGCCCUGGUUGAUUUCCGUGAUUCAGAGGGUGUAGAGCGGCUGCAGAAAGCAAUCGACUUUGCUGAUCAGCUUCAUGAAGUAAACACUGAUGGCGUAGAACCGAUGGAUUCGGUCCUGGAGGACAGGUGUCUGUAUCUCAGAGAAGAUGAUGUUACAGAAGGCAACUGCACGGAAGAGCUGCUGAAAAAUUCCAAAGAGAAAGUAGAGGAAUAUUUUGUAGCGCCACCAGGUAACAUCCCUUUACCAAAGCUAGAAGAACGAAAAUCUUUUCUGCAGGGCUCUUAGCGAAAGCCCAGAACCCAAACACCAUUUUGGUAUUUCUUUUGGAAAGCUAAGUUGUGUGCAGUCACAGCUGAAAUACCCUGGUCUUAGAAAUACAAGUACUCUGGUACUUUUCAGUGCUGCAAGCAGACAUUGCUACCAGGAAGCUCGCAACAGCUUUACAAGAAGAAGCAGUGUGAUUAGCAGAUACCACUCUGGAUACAGCUUCACCUUUAAUCUGUUUCCAGCUCUACUUUACAAACUCAUGCGAGUAUCACCUCAAUAUCACCAUUUUACUAGCUGUUACUUGUUUAUAAGGAUACUGAGCCUUUACUUUAGAUCUCAGCGUUGUAGAAACCACUCCCCAGACUGGUGUAAUACCCUAAUCUUUGAGCACAUGGCUCUAGAUGCUUUUCUUUCUGCUCAGUUUGGGUUUUGGCUUAGAACGUUUCCAUCUUGCGGGAAAAAAAUGAAUUAGUGCAGGGAUAUUUCUGUUUCUUUGCAAGAUGGUGUGGAAAAGUAACAGUUAAUUGUCAAGCUCAGCCUGUUACUCUCAAGUAACAGUCAUGUACCAGUACCUCAAAUUCUGCAUGGAAAGGGUUGGGGUAAGCACUUCAGCCACCAGCUCCCAGAUGGGAUGUUUGUCACAGAAAGCUCAGCCACAGUGAAGAAGUGGUUGCAAAGAGGUAGCACAGCUCCAAGAACAAAAGGAGCCCCCCUGAUUCUGCCUUACUGGCUCAGAGGCCAAUAGACCAUCACAGGAAGAGGUGCUGUGCUGGGCAAAUUGGGAAGAUGGCUCUUGCAAACAACAUUCAUUGUCGCUGUCUCCUGGCAGAGAAUGCUGAGGCUUCCUUACAGACUGCCACCAGUCAGAGGCCAGAUAAGCCAAGGCUUACUGCAAGAAACUAAAGACCUGCUGAAAGAAUAAUACUGCAGCAAACUAGAACAAAAUAGUCCAGACCAUUCACUUUCAGGCCCUACAGAGGGCAGAAAAAAAAGCUGAAAAACAAGCUUUUCUUCCUGAUUUGUGCCCUGUCCACAUACAGAUUUAAGUAUCCAUAAUUAUUUAUUCCAAUUCUAACUCCAUGCACUAGAGAAGAUCAUGACAUACUGAGCCACAGUGGAAUUUGAAAGUGCUAGAAAAGACCCCUCAUGUUAUUGUAAUGGGAUGCUACUGAUCACCAGUUCUGAGUCUGCUUUUACAGCUCUUGAGAGCCUGAUAGGAGAAGGGAAGUAGGCUCCUCCAUGGCUGUGCAGGCACAUGAAACUCACCUUGUGAGAUGGUAACUUGAUGUCGUCCAGCUUAUAUAGUGCUUGUUCUGUAUCCUUUUGCAGAGAAAAGCCAUUACUCCUAUUCCAUCUUUCUGUGCAUCUGCAUAAUAAACACUACCUGCUUGGUGCAUGUGUUUCUUCAGGUCCUGCCAGCUGUCUGAUAGAGGAAGUCCUGAGCAUGGCCAUAAUAACUAUUUCUCCUAUGAACUGCAUCUUCCGCAUCCCUGCAAACAGCAGGUAAUAUAAAUUAGACGUUAAUGAUACAAGUGUUGUUUCUUAACAUCGCAAAAGUCCACCAAGCAUAUUAGAAGUAUAAUUUGAAAAACACUGAAAAAAAUAUGAAAGAGUUUGAAUAGUAGUGAUACUAGGUUCAGCCAUAGGUGGCUUGCUCUUAAUACUGUGUGUACAAAGUGCUUUGACAAGCUCCCUCUCAGGCCUUUCGUUCAUUAUGUGCCAUGUAUUUAAUGGAAAACCCAGCUGAGUGAAAAGGAUUACAGCUGUCUUUGUGGGUAUAAGAAAUCACAGCUACUGGGUAGGAUCCACUUUUACUCACUGCCCUCAAAGGUUGCAUGUUUGGUAAGUUUUGAACUUUUUUUUUUUUUAAGGAACUGAUUUUUUUUUUUUUUCAUAUUUCUCUGGCAGGACGUGAGCACAAACACUUGUCCCAUUCUUACUUGUGCAGUUACUUCAUUAUUUGUUUAAGCUUCUAUAACAUACACACAUACAUAUACAUAUAUACAUAUAUGUAUGUGCAUAAACAUGUAAUUAUUAUGAUAUUUGAAUUCUUUCAAGGGUGUUGAAUUAAAGUCUCUAUUUAACCCCACUAAUCCAGUUCUCUGCAAGGCUGUAAAACUGUAUUAGUGCUUUAGUCUCAGGCUCUUCAGGUUUCAGACCCUGCAAAUUUACAAACAUACAAGCUCAGCCUAAAAGUCAUUUAUGAUGCAUUUAUAAAUCAUGACAUGGAAAGACCUCAAGUCACACCACACAACAAGCAUGUUAGCAGAGAAUUCUCAGUUUGAGAAAUCCCCAUUUGUUCCAUCCAUCUUGGCCUCCUCCUUUGGCCAUCAGAGACAACAGGACAAUGUUAUUUAUGUAGAAAAAGGAAGAGGAAUUUGAGAGUGAACUGCAUGGCUGCAGGGGCUUCCAACACAAUGUAUCAUCAAGUAACUAUUUAAAAGCAACAACCAAACCAACAAUUUGGACAAAGAUGAUCCCCUGUUCCCACUGCUGCACAGGCUAAGCUUAAAACUGCCAGUUCACUGCUACUCCCUUACCCAAACACUCCAGUGUGAAAACAGACUGCCUGAUGCUUGUUCCCUGCAGCUCAAACUUCAUUUAAAGUGGAAAACAUGUAUUUCCUUAAUGAAAGGGUUUGUUGCAACUUCACUGCUAAUAAGGGAUUUAUAGCCAUGACUCAGAUACCUGCAACCACCAAAACAGAAAUCCUAGCAAAGGCCAGGUGAGCUGCCUAUGGGGCAAAAUAUGUUAGUGCCUCAGCCUGCCCUUGGCACGUCUAAUGUGGUGGGUGCUGCACCCCAGGGGAUGGCACAAAGCCCCACUGGGCCCUGGCUGCACUCCGAGAUGGGGGCGAGACGCCCUUCGUGGUGCCAGUUCACCUGCUUUCACUGCAGGCCCUCGAUAUGUAAUUGGGUCCAGAUUGGGGUCAGAUCUUUACAGUAUUCUGCCACAAUGCAAUUUAUAAACCCUGGCAAGGGAAUAAAUAUAGUUAAGGACUCGUGUAAUAAAAUUGCUACCUGUAAAUUCCUCGUAACUGCAGUGAGGCAAAUAUAAUGUGUAUUUGUGAAAUAACUCAUCUUUUCUCCAUGGUUAAUAGAUAUGGCAAAAAAGAAAAAAAAAAUAAGACAAGAAAAAGGACAGAUUCUGAGAUGAUGUAAAUGCAUCUACUUUCCCUGGAGACCAUAAUUUGACUUAGACCUGCUAAGGUUUUUCCACUACUAUGUAGAGCUGUAACAUAAAAUCAGAUUAGAAGCCCUAGCAUAUAGAUUCCAGGUUUACAAAGAAAAUUUCAGGGUGAAGAUUUCUUCAAUUUUAUGGAAAAAAGAAAACUUAAGUUGUUUUAUUGCUAAUAAUGAUAAUUUUAUGCUUUGAUAGUAACUAGAAGACCCAGGAAAAAUCUCUAUUUGAUACAGUGAUCCAGUAUGCAACACAGCAAAAAAAGGCCUCAACUGAAAAGUGCUUACAAUCUAACCUCAUCUGCAAGAGGAAUCUCAUGAUAUGUCUUAUCCAUUACUCAAUUUUCUUCGGCACCUCCUCUACUCCAGCUAUCAUCUCCUCUGUGUAUUCGUUCUGCCCUCCCCUGCAGCUCUGUCCUGAGGGAAACCACACUUUUAUAUUCUCGAUUAACAAGUAAAGCUGUGUAUCUCAGGCUUUAAUGUUUCUCGUUAAUGAUGUGUAUCUCACCCACACUGACAUUUCCUGCAGUCGUCAUCACAUCUGUUCCUUCAGCUAACCAUUUCUUAAUAAAUGCAUAGAAAUUUGCCUGCAGCUACCAAACACAA